CGGNGGAGUAAUGCCUAGGAAUCUGCCUGGUAGUGGGGGACAACGUUUCGAAAGGAACGCUAAUACCGCAUACGUCCUACGGGAGAAAGCAGGGGACCUUCGGGCCUUGCGCUAUCAGAUGAGCCUAGGUCGGAUUAGCUAGUUGGUGAGGUAAUGGCUCACCAAGGCGACGAUCCGUAACUGGUCUGAGAGGAUGAUCAGUCACACUGGAACUGAGACACGGUCCAGACUCCUACGGGAGGCAGCAGUA
This 250-nucleotide ribosomal RNA is filed under the name uncultured Pseudomonas sp. RNAcentral's name for it is "partial 16S ribosomal RNA". It matches the Rfam family "Bacterial small subunit ribosomal RNA", at positions 103 to 355 of the family's 1533-position model. The record is from RNAcentral. Lineage: Bacteria; Pseudomonadati; Pseudomonadota; Gammaproteobacteria; Pseudomonadales; Pseudomonadaceae.